Long non-coding RNA from Manis pentadactyla (Chinese pangolin), 5038 nucleotides. RefSeq lists it as uncharacterized. The transcript has 2 exons. The record is from RefSeq and is a predicted model, not a curated record. NCBI's taxonomy places the organism in Eukaryota, Metazoa, Chordata, Mammalia, Pholidota, Manidae.
GCGGCUGGUGUCUUAGCCUCCCAGAGUGCUCCAACUGUGCCCAGUGUCCAGCCCCACUAAUCACCAGAACCCAAUGCAUGUGGACUUGUGUUCCUGAAGCAGAUUUCCAGGGUCAGGUGUGUAGAGUUCCUGAGCACCUAUCCCCUCCCCACUCGGUGCCUCUUCCUCCUGCCUGGGGGCUGGUUUGGGGGAAAGGCUUGGGUCUGCUCAGUCACAGCUCUGACACUUUACCCUCUUCUGUGUGGUUUCCUCUCCUUCUCCAGGUGUAGGGGAUCUGUCCUGCAGUCUUCAGGUCCUCUUCAGGUUUCACUGUAUUUGCUGUAGUUGCUUCCUGUGUGUAUGAGAGAGGAGGUUUCUUUCUUGUCUUCUUUCUCUGCCAUCUUGAGUCUUGGGAAUCCAGAAAUGCCCAAUUUUCUGACAUAACAAAUUCUUUCUGCUUUUUUCUUUUUGGCAAGUCUAAAUAUUAGAAUACUUUCUUUUUUGAAGCCUUGGGUUGUACUCUUGGCUUUAAUUGAAACCCCUGAGUAAAAAGUAUUUGGCCUUGGUUCAUGUGUCUGUGAAGGUAAAGGUGAGACCAGGUACAUUCUAAGGUGUCAGACUAUGCCUUGUGGAAAGGGUGGCUCUGUGUGAAAGCCUUGAUGCUUUAUAAAGUAAGGAUUUGAACAUUUCUAUAUAUGCAAAAAAAUUUUUUUCUAUUUCAAGAGGAAUUUUUCUUUUUUAACUCCUAGAGGAGAGAGCUAGGAAGUCCUUCAUUUAUAGAUGAGGAAGCUGAGGUCCAAGGAGGCAAAGUAAUUCGCUCCAGUUCUCCUGCCAGGGAUUAUUUACAAGAUUUUAUUCCCACUUAAGUGAACUGGGAUGUCAGGAGGUAUAGCAAGCAUUGUGAACAUUUCCUUGGAUAUGUAGAUGCUCAUGAAAUAUGUCAAGGAAUAAAGAAAAGUAACUCUCAGUGGUGCCUGAUUUUAUAAUUAUUUCUGUGAAAGUCAAAUUAACUUAUGGUGAAUUUGCUAUGAGAAAUAUUCAUAUGAACUUUGUUAUGGUGUAGCCAGUAAUUAUAUGGAUUACAGUGUAGCUCGAUGAAGGAAAUGAAUCUAAUACGUAUCUCAGGAUGAUCUUCCAAAGCCAUUGUUCAUACAAGUCAAAGCUAACAGCUAUUGGUUAUGGCCUUUGUCCAGUUGGAUAUAUACAGCUUUUGGCGACUUGAUAGUCCGUCCGUGCAAAUGAAGGAUGGUGUGGUACAAAGGAAAGAGUAAAGGAUCUAGAGACAGAAAGCUUGGGUUUUCAUUUUGCCCUGGGAGUCCCUUAUUCUGAGACACUAAAUCUAGCUGUUAUUUGAGCCUAAUCUGUAAAAGAGAGAAAAUAUUCAUCUAUUGGGGGGGAUUAAGAAGGGGUUAAUGUAUAUAUCCAUUUAAAUGUAAUUGUGCUGAGGUGCAUACAGGCCUUUAAGUGACAGUCUUCUGGUAGCAAUCUAAAUGUAAAUAGCAGAGUUUGAGUUCCUUUGCAUCUAAUUCCAGCUGACUUUUAGCCACAAAUCCAUACUAGUGAUACCCACUGACACCGUCUGACUGAAGUGCUGGUUCUUCCACCACUGCCUCAGAGUGCAGCCAGCAGGAGCAAGGCCAGCUCUUAGCUCUGAGUCCAGCCAGACGAAACACUGCUGGUGAGCUCUCCUUGAUCAGGAAUAUUUUGGGGUGGGGGGGUUGAUGUGUCAGCCUAGGCCUGUGAUCUAGUUCGUAUUUUUGUUUUGUUGGAAUUUAGUGCUUGUGCAAAGUUAAAUUCUAGAAUCAGGAAGCAUCCGUGAACUUUCUUUGUGGAGGCCUCUGGAAAAUACUUUAGGAGGCGGUAGAUACUUAGGACUGUGAGUCAUGGGUCUAUGCAGACCAAGAGUGUAGUUGUCUUGACUCACUUCUCCUAAAUGGAACAUGUACACACUUGUCCCUUGUCUGUAUGUAUAUGUGUAUCUGUGUGUAUGAGUGAAUUCAGGGUCCAUGAGCAAGAAGAGGUAAUUUGGUCAUAGCUAUUGGCAGUGGCUACAGCCAUUGACUGGACUGGCCCUUGUCCAGACAUUUAUGAAGGAAAUGGACAGAUUGAGUAAAGUUUCAGUAUAUUUUGCCUAGUGUUGCUCAAAUACAAGAGCUAUAGUUAAUUUUUUCUUUCUUUUUCAAAGGUUUGGCUUCUACCAAACAAAAUGAAGGGCACAAAACAUUUGAGAGGAUAUUAUGCAGAUGUUAGUUAUUUAAUAAUGAUAAUUUAAUAUUUAAUAAUAAUGAUAAUGAAAUCAAUAUACUGGUGUUUAUUAUUAUUAAAGCUGUUAGUCACCAUAGCUCCUACUGGCCUCUGCUUCAGGGAUUUGCCAUGGGUGGACAGGUUUGAUAUCAUGGGGAUUUCCCUGAGCAAUACAUUAUAUUCUGCCAAUGCUAAGGUAAUUUGAACAUAUUAGCAACUGGUACAUUGUGGUUAUUGACCAAUCAGAACAGACACUGAAACAGUGUAACACAAUGGCAAAUCCUGCUAAACAGCAGUCCCUAUCAAUGAUCAAGACUCCACUGAGGUAAACCAAAUUAGAAAUUUACCUCGUUUUAUAGAUAACUUUUGCACCAUAUCCAUUCACAAAAUCUUCCAGCUCAAAUACUUUCUGAAUGAUCUAUUCAAGUUGUUCUCAACAUUGAAUUCUUGCGCCUUUGGGUGUUUGUAGAUUUAUUCUGAGGGUGUAUGAGUCUUCCACCUUCAUUUUUGAAUCAUUCCUUUUUUAAAUUUUAUUUUAUUAAGGCAUCAUUGAUAUACACUCUUAUGAAGGUUUCACAAGAAAAACAAUGUGGUUAUUACAUUCACCCUUAUUAUCGAGUCCCUCCCCCAUACCCCAUUGCAGUCACUGUCCAUCAGUGUAGCAAGAUGCCACAGAGUCCCUCUUCUCUGAGCUACAUUGUCUUCCCCGUGACCCCACACCCCAUGUGCACCAACCAUAAUACCCCACAAUCCCCUUCUUCCUCCCUCCCCACUAGCCCUCCCACACCCCUCCCCUUUGGUAACUGAUAGACCCUUCUUGAAGUCUCUGAGUCUGCUGCUAUUUUGUUCCUCCAGUUUUGCUUCAUUGUUUUACUCCACAAAUGAGGGAAAUCAUUUGGUAUUUGUCUUUCUCUGCCUGACUUAUUUCACUGAGCAUAAUGUCCUCCAGCUCCAUCCAUUUUGUUGCAAAUGGUAGAAUUUGUUUCUUUCUUAUGGCUGAAUAGUAUCCCAUUGUGUGUAUGUACCCAUCUUUAUCCAUUCAUCUACAGAUGGACACUUAGGUUACUUCCAUAUCUUGGUUAUUGUAAAUAGUGCUGCAAUAAAUAUAGGGGUGCAUAUGUAUUUUUGAAUCUGAGAAGUUGUUUUCUUUGGGUAAAUUCCUAUAAUGGAGUUCCGGGGUCAAAUGGUAUUUCUAGUUUUAGUUUUUUAAGGAGCCUCCAUAUUGCUUUCCACAAUGGUUGAACUAGUUUACAUUCCCACCAGCAGUGUAGGAGGGUCCCCUUUCUCCUCAUCCUUGCCAGCAUUUGUUAUUCCUAGUCUUUUCUAUGUUGGCCAUCCUAACUGGCAUGAGGUGAUAUCUCAUUGUGGUUUUUAUUUGCAUUUCCUUGAUAAUUAGCAAUGUGGAGCAUUUUUCAUGUGCCUGUUUGCUGUCUGAAUUUCUGAAUGUCAUUCCUUUUUGGUGAUAAUCUCUAUAAAGAUUAAUAGGAGCACAGCUUGGCUCAGCUGUAUGACCACUUCAUAUUUGAGCACUGCCACACAAUUUCUGUGCCCACAUCCUGGUGCCUAAAGAACAUGAUGAACUUUAGCAUGGGUUAGGAUCCACAGCUAGAGGUCCUCAGAUUUAUUAUCAGGUGCCAGUGGUUAAUCUAUUUAAAAUCUGUUCCAGUCCAUCCAUGACAGACUCCUACUCCACCUCCCUCACCUCUGCUUAACUCUUCCAGCAGAGGAUACACACACUACAUACAAAGUCAUAGAUUUGGGAACUGAGAAGGACCCAGGAGAUCCUGUGGUCCAGCCUUCGCAGUGUUAAAUGAUUUACCAGUCUACCGUUGUUAGUGGGGGAUUUGCAAUCCUGUGUUUAUAAUCUUGCCACCUGGUUUCACUUUUGGACAGUUUUAAUUGUUCUUUUCUCUGUUGGAUUUAAAUCUGCUUCCUUAGAGUGUACUUAAAGCCAUUGGUUCUCAUUCUAACCUCUGGAGCCAUACCAAAGAAGUGUAACUGUCCUCUGGUGAGGAUAUACUGAAUGUGACAAGUUAUUUAACAUUUUUUCUUGUAGGGUCUGGGUCAUGUCAAAGUCUGCAAUUUGCUCCUAAGAAUGUGGUAAAAAUAUGGUGACAUACUGGUAUCUUUGAAUAGGCACUGAAUUUCUGAAAGUGGAACCCUUUUUAAAAAGUACCAGGGGAUAUUACUUGUUUAAAGAAAGACUCAUUUGGUGAAGGGGGGACCCUAGUAAACAUAAUGUUCUUCAUGUAAUUGUAAAUUAAUGACAACAAAAUAAAUAAAUAAAUAAUAAAAUAAAUAAAAAUUAAAAAAGGAAGACUCAUUUGGCAGUACAACCAUUUCCUAACAUAACUUUUGCACCUAGGAAUUUUUUAAAGAGGGCAUUUUCUAUUAAAAGUUUUAAAAUUUUAUUAACUUAUACUUUUUAAAUCUGUUUUUGAAUAGGUAAUGUCUUUAUAGUGUUCAAAGACAAGAAAAUAUAAAAAGGUUUUCCAGAAAAGUCUCACCCCCUGUUUCUGCCCACCUUAUGCCCAGUGCUCCCACCUCUUUACCCCAUAGAUAAUUUCAAGGUUUCUUAAUGCAAAUGAAAUACAACAAAUCCAGAUAUAUAUGUAUUUUAAAAUAGGUAUUUCUUGAGACAAAGUACAUGCACUGUGAAACUCACAUCUCUCAUUGGUGUCAUUUUAAAUGUUUCUGUAACAUGCUUGGAAAUACUGGUACAAUUCUAGAAUGGGAAUGACUUUCAGCUUUGUGGACUAGGCAUUUGUAAACAGCAAUAAUUGACUUACCAAUAAAGGGAUUUUUUUCCUUUUUA